This 67-nucleotide microRNA precursor is filed under the name Bombyx mori (domestic silkworm). RNAcentral's name for it is "mir-2774 microRNA precursor family". It matches the Rfam family "mir-2774 microRNA precursor family". The record is from Rfam by way of RNAcentral. Lineage: Eukaryota; Metazoa; Arthropoda; Insecta; Lepidoptera; Bombycidae.
ACAAAAUUCGGACCGUCGGUCUACCGAGGAAAAUCACUAACUCGGUGGAAGAAUUUCCCGUCGUCGA